GGUGUGUUGGAACAAGGAUGAAUCUAAAAGCUGCAGGACAGUAGCUCUCGAGGACUAGGAUUGGGCACCCCUGAUAUAGGCCAUCCGGUUAAGGUUUAUUUGCAGAUAGUUAUGAAUACAGGAUAAACACUGUGGGCUCCAGGAGACGGGGCAGAGGUAGUGAAGGUUGUCUGAAGGCACACUCAGACACUGUCACAGAAGGUUGUGGAGAUCCGUAGCGCUGAAACGUCUGCACAGAAACAGAGAGUGAGUAAAGGCAAGAACUGAUGGAAAAUGUGACAUGACUGUGGCAUGAUACGUUACCUUGGUAAUGCAAUGAUCUGGUUGUUUAGAAGCCAGCAUGAAGACCUCGUGAGGGACAGGCGAGUAAUCAGCUGAUUGUUGACAAGUGACUGAAGGACAGGAAGGUGGAGGAGCAUCCCCUAAAAAAGACAAACACACGGACAACAACACAGGCACACACCGAAAGAGGAGAGAGAGAAAGAAGCAGGCCAGCAAAAACGGGCAAGGGAACCAUGACAUCUACAGAGGCCCAUUUUCAUUUGGUACAUUGUGGUACCAGAUAUCAGUUUGUGAUGUUAGAUCCCAACUUGUCAGUCAAGAAACCUUUUUCCAAAGAUAUCAGCACAAACCAAAAUCAUUGUGUGGAUUAAAAACAGUAAAUUUUAGAGAUUUGUGAUGGAUCAUCCAAUUUACUGUUUUUGUUUUGAUUAAGUCAAAUUUGUACCGUGUUUAUAACCAUGUGAUUGGUCCAUACAAGAGCGAUUUUUACUAGAAAUGGGCCCAUAUAUGAGUGUGUAGACAUAUCCUAAUGCAUCAUGGGUGAUUUAACAUAAAUGAUUCAUUAAACACACAUCUGUGAAAACAUUUCUGAUAAGCUUUUUGCAAUAUUACGUUAAAGCAAAUGUAAAUUAUGAAUUAAAAGACGACUGUUUCAAUCUGACCACAAACUUUUGAGCAGUAGUGUGUGUUGUAUGCAUGUGUCUGUCUGUAUCUGAUCAGGAUUUUGUCAUCAGUGUCAACAAAACGCUCAUUUUUUUAGCUGUGUCUAUCAUCAAAAUUGAGUUGGAGUGUUUUAAGUCUGAUGGCAAUCUCUCCCUAACAAGUCCACUUUAUUGCGUGCUCUUUUUCUCCUAUUAGAGGCUCAUAGGAGUCUAACUAAUGCACUUUAUGCAUGUUUCCUAAUCUGUCACGCUUAUCAGUGGCUCAUGGUUGCUUAAGGCCUAUGUCUGUACUUGACCACAGAGGCAGAGCAUCAUUCAGUCCUGCCAGCUGCCUAUCUUGGGAGCUUUUCAAGGAUGACAGACUCCACUUUCUCUGCAGCAAGACAGCUCAUAACUUUUUAACAGUGUCUCCCUGUCCUCAUACUUCUAUAUAUUCUUCUGUAAUAGAUAACUAUACACUAUCAUUGCAAUCAAUCUACACUACAGCUCAAAAGUUUGAAGUCAAUUUUCACCUGCUUUAUAACCAUGUGAUCGGUCCAUACAGGAGUGAUUGUUACUAAAAAUGGGCCCAUGUAUAACACUGCAGACAUUUCCUAAUGCAUCAUGGGUGAUUUAACAAAUGAAUGAUUCAUUAAACAAACAUCUGUGAAAACAUUACUGGUAAACUUUGUGUAAUAUUACGUUAAAGCAAAUGUAAAUUUAAAAUUAAGAUAAGAAUGUUUCAAUCUGACCACAAACCUUUGAGCAGUAGUGUGUGUUGUAUGCAUGUGUCUGUCUGUAUCUGAUCAGGAUUUUGUCAUCAGUGUCAACAAAACGCUCAUUUUUUUAGCUGUGUCUAUCAUCAAAAUUGAGUUGGAGUGUUUUAACUCUGAUGGCAAUCUCUCCCUAACAAGUCCACUUUAUUGCGUGCUCAUUUUCUCCUAUUAGUGGCUCAUAGGAGUCUAACUAAUGCACUUUAUGCAUGUUUCCUAAUCUGUCACGCUUAUCAGUGGCUCAUGGUUGCUUAAGGCCUAUGUCUGUACUUGACCACAGAGGCAGAGCAUCAUUCAAUCCUGCCAGCUGCCUAUCUUGGGAGCUUUUCAAGGAUGACAGACUCCACUUUCUCUGCAGCAAGACAGCUCAUAACUUUUUCACAGUGUCUCCCUGUCCUCAUACUUCUAUAUAUUCUUCUGUAAUAGAUAACUAUACACUAUCAUUGCAAUCUACACUACAGCUCAAAAGUUUGAAGUCAAUUUUCACCUGCUUUAUAACCAUGUGAUCGGUCCAUACAGGAGUGAUUGUUACUAAAAAUGGGCCCAUGUAUAAGUGUGCAGACAUUUCCAAAUGCAUCAUGGGUGAUUUAACAGAAAUGAUUCAUUAAACACACAUCUGUGAAAACAUUACUGGUAAACUUUUUGUAAUAUUACGUUAAAGUAAAUGUAAAUUAUUAAUUAAAAGACGACUGUUUGAACUGACCACAAACUUUUGAGCAGUAGUGUGUGUUGUAUGCAUGUGUCUGUCUGUAUCUGAUCAGGAUUUUGUCAUCAGUGUCAACAAAACGCUCAUUUUUUUUUUAGCUGUGUACAUAAUCAAAAAUCGAGUUGAUGGCAAACUCUCCCUAACAAGUCACUUUAUUGUGUGCUAAUCAAUCUAUUCUAGUUUGAAGUCAGUUAGAAACGUCUUUUUUCUUAAAAAACCAAGAUUCUUUUUUAUAUUUUGUAAAUUUGUUGGGACUGCCAAUAAAUAUUAUUGCUUAAAACUCGCAUUGAUCACAAAUUAUGAUUGAUGUAUGGGAAAAUAUUAACUGGUCUAUGUAUGCCCAGUUACAAGAAUAAAAGCUACUGCGUAGAAUAUAUUACCUACCCUCAGUUUAUCACAUUAAAUCUCAGGUUACUAGUCACCCAGCAUUUUUCCAAAUACAGCAGCGCUAACCAACAUCAAUUUUUUCAAGUAAUAUAAAAAUCAAUUUUAUAUAUUACCUUUUUAAACAACCCACUCUUUUCUUUCUAAUGUCAUUAAAACAAGUUUGCACAGUUGGACCUCCAGAUAUUUUAAAGCUUUCAGUUUUUUCUCAUUGUCACACAUGAAUUAGUUUUCAUCUCUUUCAAUAAGAAAGUCAAAUAUUCAAACCCUAAAGCAAUCUUUGUUUCUUUCAAUCAUUCCAAUAUUUUUCAUCUCCUGUGAUAUAAUUGCAGUUAACCAGGGCUUAGCUACUCUCAUCUACAGUGAUUUUGUGGAUACCUAUUUUUUUUUCACAGUUGCAGAGCCUUUUUCUACAAAAUUAUGAUUGAACUGCAUUUUUCAAAAGUACCAUUAACAUUAAUGUAGACUGACAAGUAACUAAACAUUCAACACAGUGAUCAGUAGAGAAGAAAAAAAAAUGACCCCUUUCCAAAUUUCUAGUUCAGAUCAAAAUUAUUGUUCUGAUUAAGGAAACAGUAAAUUUGACCACAUUAUUGUCCUGAUCCUCCAAUUUUCCCUUUCUAAUGUGACUAAAUAAAAUUCACCUCUUUUUUUUUAAAAUAAAAGCAGAUGCACCCAGAUAUUUCUUACAGUAAGAAUCCUCCAACAACCUUUCAAAAGAAACAUUUUUUGUCUUUCCUCAAUUUUGAGACCAACUGAACCCACAAACCUGAAGCUCCAGACCCCAAACUAACCAAAUUUAAUGUUUCCUUAAUCAGCACAGUAAUUUUUAACUCUUUGUGUGUUAUGUUUACUCACAGUUUUGAUGCUUGCUUCUUCGACUUGAUCCACGGUUAGCUCUGCACCAUCGCUCUGCUGUUUUCUCUCUCCUCAUGCUUCUCCUUCAUGCGUCCUGUCCUCAGAUAUAAUCCAACCAGCUCCCUCCUUGUUUCCUCCCUGACUCAUAUUAGCAAAAUUUCCAGUUAAAUUCAGAGAAAUCCACAAAAGUUUUCCUGCUUCAAAAGCUCUUCCAGUUGCUUGUCUUCUUGUCCUCCUUUAAAUGUGCAUUUUUGUAUAUUUGUAUUUAUUUGACUUUUUA
Oreochromis aureus is the source of this 3924-nucleotide long non-coding RNA. NCBI's taxonomy places the organism in Eukaryota, Metazoa, Chordata, Actinopteri, Cichliformes, Cichlidae. The record is from Ensembl.